GGGAGUGUAGCUCAGUGGUAGAGCUCUCACCUCACACAUGGGAGGCAAUGGGUUUGAUCCUCAGCACCACA
This 71-nucleotide transfer RNA is filed under the name Marmota monax (woodchuck). RNAcentral's name for it is "tRNA.Val". The record is from RNAcentral. Lineage: Eukaryota; Metazoa; Chordata; Mammalia; Rodentia; Sciuridae.